RNAcentral lists this ribosomal RNA (442 nucleotides) under uncultured bacterium. RNAcentral describes it as "partial 16S ribosomal RNA". It matches the Rfam family "Bacterial small subunit ribosomal RNA", at positions 338 to 795 of the family's 1533-position model. The record is from RNAcentral.
CCUACGGGUGGCAGCAGUGGGGAAUAUUGGGCAAUGGGCGAAAGCCUGACCCAGCAACGCCGCGUGAAGGAAGAAGGCUUUCGGGUUGUAAACUUCUUUUGACAGGGAAGAGCAGAAGACGGUACCUGUCGAAUAAGGAUCGGCUAACUCCGUGCCAGCAGCCGCGGUAAUACGGAGGAUUCGAGCGUUAUCCGGAUUUAUUGGGUUUAAAGGGUGCGUAGGCUGUUGGAUAAGUUAGAGGUCAAAUGUCGGGGCUUAACCCCGUGCCUCCCUCUGAUACUGUUCGACUAGAGAGCGGAUGCAGCAGGCGGAAUGAGUAGUGUAGCGGUGAAAUGCUUAGAUAUUACUCAGAACACCGAUUGCGCAGGCAGCUUGCUAAUCCGCAUCUGACGCUGAUGCACGAAAGCGUGGGUAGCGAACAGGAUUAGAUACCCGGGUAGUC